CGUGGGGAACCUGCCCCAUAGUCUGGGAUACCACUUGGAAACAGGUGCUAAUACCGGAUAAGAAAGCAGAUCGCAUGAUCAGCUUUUAAAAGGCGGCGUAAGCUGUCGCUAUGGGAUGGCCCCGCCGUGCAUUAGCUAGUUGGUAAGGUAAAGGCUUACCAAGGCGAUGAUGCAUAGCCGAGUUGAGAGACUGAUCGGCCACAUUGGGACUGAGACAUGGCCCAAACUCCUACGGGAGGCAGCAGUG
RNAcentral lists this ribosomal RNA (247 nucleotides) under uncultured Lactobacillus sp. RNAcentral's name for it is "partial 16S ribosomal RNA". It matches the Rfam family "Bacterial small subunit ribosomal RNA", at positions 116 to 356 of the family's 1533-position model. Lineage: Bacteria; Bacillati; Bacillota; Bacilli; Lactobacillales; Lactobacillaceae. The record is from RNAcentral.